This 443-nucleotide ribosomal RNA is filed under the name uncultured bacterium. RNAcentral's name for it is "partial 16S ribosomal RNA". It matches the Rfam family "Bacterial small subunit ribosomal RNA", at positions 338 to 795 of the family's 1533-position model. The record is from RNAcentral.
CCUACGGGAGGCAGCAGUGGGGAAUAUUGGGCAAUGGGCGCAAGCCUGACCCAGCAACGCAGCGUGAAGGAAGAAGGCCUUCGGGUUGUAAACUUCUUUUCUCAGGGACGAAGAAAGUGACGGUACCUGAGGAAUAAGCCACGGCUAACUACGAGCCAGCAGCCGCGGUAAUACGUAGGUGGCAAGCGUUAUCCGGAUUUACUGGGUGUAAAGGGCGUGUAGGCGGGGAUGCAAGGCAGAUGUGAAAACCACGGGCGCAACCUGUGGCCUGCCUUUGAAACUGUUUUUCUUGAGUACUGGGGAGGCAGGCGGAAUUCGUAGUGUAGCGGUGAAAUGCUGAGAUAUUAGGAGGAACACCAGUGGCGAAGGCAGUCUGCUGGACAGCUACUGACGCUGAGGCGCGAAAGCGUGGGGAGCAAACAGGAUUAGAUACCCCGGUAGUC